CCUACGGGUGGCAGCAGUGAGGAAUAUUGGUCAAUGGGCGAAAGCCUGAACCAGCCAAGCCGCGUGAGGGAAGACGGCCCUAUGGGUUGUAAACCUCUUUUGUCGAGGGACAAAACCCGGGUCGUGUCCCGGACUGCGUGUAUCCGAAGAAAAAGCAUCGGCUAACUCCGUGCCAGCAGCCGCGGUAAUACGGAGGAUGCGAGUGUUAUCCGGAUUUAUUGGGUUUAAAGGGUGCGUAGGCGGUCCGUUAAGUCAGCGGUAAAAGUGCGGGGCUCAACCCCGUCGAGCCGUUGAAACUGGCAGACUUGAGUUGGCGAGAGGUACGAGGAAUGCGCGGUGUAGCGGUGAAAUGCAUAGAUAUAGCGCAGAACUCCGAUUGCGAAGGCAGCGUACCGGCGCCAGACUGACGCUGAGGCACGAAAGCGUGGGGAUCGAACAGGAUUAGAUACCCCUGUAGUC
This 459-nucleotide ribosomal RNA is filed under the name uncultured bacterium. RNAcentral describes it as "partial 16S ribosomal RNA". It matches the Rfam family "Bacterial small subunit ribosomal RNA", at positions 338 to 795 of the family's 1533-position model. The record is from RNAcentral.